Molecule: non-coding RNA, 65 nt
Organism: Dipodomys ordii (Ord's kangaroo rat)
Lineage: Eukaryota; Metazoa; Chordata; Mammalia; Rodentia; Heteromyidae
Source: Rfam
GGUGGCUCAGUGGAAGAGCACUUGCCUUGCAUGCAUGAGGCCCUGGGUUCAAUUCCUCAGCACCA